AGUUGUAUCCUGGCUCAGGAUGAACGCUGGCGGUAUGCCUAAUACAUGCAAGUCGUACGAAAGUUUUUAACUUUAGUGGCGGACGGGUGAGUAACGCGUGAGAAUUUACCUUUAGGAGGGGGAUAACAGCUGGAAACGGUUGCUAAUACCCCAUAUGCUUUCGAGUGAAACAGAUUUAUCUGCCUGAAGAGAAGCUCGCGUCUGAUUAGCUUGUUGGUGGGGUAAAGGCCUACCAAGGCGACGAUCAGUAUCUGGUUUGAGAGGAUGAUCAGACACACUGGAACUGAGACACGGUCCAGACUCCUACGGGAGGCAGCAGUAGGGAAUUUUCCGCAAUGGGCGAAAGCCUGACGGAGCAAUACCGCGUGAGGGAAGACUGCCUAUGGGUUGUAAACCUCUUUUUUCAGGGAGGAAUUUUGACGUGUACCUGAAGAAUAAGCAUCGGCUAACUCCGUGCCAGCAGCCGCGGUAAGACGGAGGAUGCAAGUGUUAUCCGGAAUCACUGGGCGUAAAGCGUCUGUAGGUGGUUAAACAAGUCAACUGUUAAAUCUUGAAGCUCAACUUCAAAAUCGCAGUCGAAACUGUUUGACUAGAGUAUAGUAGGGGUAAAGGGAAUUUCCAGUGGAGCGGUGAAAUGCGUAGAUAUUGGAAAGAACACCGAUGGCGAAGGCACUUUACUGGGGCUAUUACUGACACUCAAAGACNAAAGCUAGGGUAG
This 718-nucleotide ribosomal RNA is filed under the name uncultured cyanobacterium. Its description in RNAcentral is "bacterial SSU rRNA". It matches the Rfam family "Bacterial small subunit ribosomal RNA", at positions 10 to 768 of the family's 1533-position model. The record is from RNAcentral. Lineage: Bacteria; Bacillati; Cyanobacteriota.